RNAcentral lists this ribosomal RNA (497 nucleotides) under uncultured bacterium. Its description in RNAcentral is "partial 16S ribosomal RNA". It matches the Rfam family "Bacterial small subunit ribosomal RNA", at positions 28 to 507 of the family's 1533-position model. The record is from RNAcentral.
GAUGAACGCCGGCGGCGUGCCUAAUACAUGCAAGUCGAGCGAACGGACGAGAAGCUUGCUUUUCUGAUGUUAGCGGCGGACGGGUGAGUAACACGUGGAUAACCUACCUAUAAGACUGGGAUAACUUCGGGAAACCGGAGCUAAUACCGGAUAAUAUUUUGAACCGCAUGGUUCAAAAGUGAAAGACGGUCUUGCUGUCACUUAUAGAUGGAUCCGCGCUGCAUUAGCUAGUUGGUAAGGUAACGGCUUACCAAGGCAACGAUGCAUAGCCGACCUGAGAGGGUGAUCGCCCACACUGGAACUGAGACACGGUCCAGACUCCUACGGGAGGCAGCAGUAGGGAAUCUUCCGCAAUGGGCGAAAGCCUGACGGAGCAACGCCGCGUGAGUGAUGAAGGUCUUCGGAUCGUAAAACUCUGUUAUUAGGGAAGAACAUAUGUGUAAGUAACUGUGCACAUCUUGACGGUACCUAAUCAGAAAGCCACGGCUAACUACGUG